GUGGAUUAGAUACCCUGGUAGUCCUAGCAGUAAACGAUGUGAACUUGGCGUUGGUGGUGUAAAAACCAUCGGUGCCGAAGCUAACGCGAUAAGUUCACCACCUGGGAACUACGGCCGCAAGGUUAAAACUCAAAGGAAUUGACGGGUCCCCGCACAAGCAGCGGAGCGUGUGGUUUAAUUCGAUGUUACACGAAGAACCUUACCCGGGUUUGACAUACAAGUGGUAGUGAAACGAAAGUGGAACGACCCUUCGGGGAGCUUGUACAGGUGCUGCAUGGCUGUCGUCAGCU
This 290-nucleotide ribosomal RNA is filed under the name uncultured bacterium. RNAcentral describes it as "partial 16S ribosomal RNA". It matches the Rfam family "Bacterial small subunit ribosomal RNA", at positions 773 to 1060 of the family's 1533-position model. The record is from RNAcentral.